ACUCCUACGGGAGGCAGCAGUAGGGAAUCUUCCACAAUGGGUGCAAACCUGAUGGAGCAAUGCCGCGUGAGUGAAGAAGGUCUUCGGAUCGUAAAGCUCUGUUGUUAGAGAAGAACACGUGCUAGGUAACUACUAGCGCCUUGACGGUAUCUAACCAGAAAGUCACGGCUAACUACGUGCCAGCAGCCGCGGUAAUACGUAGGUGACAAGCGUUGUCCGGAUUUAUUGGGCGUAAAGGGAGCGCAGGCGGUCUGUUUAGUCUAAUGUGAAAGCCCACGGCUUAACCGUGGAACGGCAUUGGAAACUGACAGACUUGAAUGUAGAAGAGGAAAAUGGAAUUCCAAGUGUAGCGGUGGAAUGCGUAGAUAUUUGGAGGAACACCAGUGGCGAAGGCGAUUUUCUGGUCUAACAUUGACGCUGAGGCUCGAAAGCGUGGGGAGCGAAUAGGAUUAGAAACCCCUGUAGUCCCA
RNAcentral lists this ribosomal RNA (470 nucleotides) under uncultured organism. Its description in RNAcentral is "partial 16S ribosomal RNA". It matches the Rfam family "Bacterial small subunit ribosomal RNA", at positions 335 to 797 of the family's 1533-position model. The record is from RNAcentral.